RNAcentral lists this ribosomal RNA (492 nucleotides) under uncultured bacterium. RNAcentral's name for it is "partial 16S ribosomal RNA". It matches the Rfam family "Bacterial small subunit ribosomal RNA", at positions 29 to 507 of the family's 1533-position model. The record is from RNAcentral.
AGUGAGCGCUGGCGGUAGGCCUAACACAUGCAAGUCGAACGGCAGCACAGUAAGAGCUUGCUCUUACGGGUGGCGAGUGGCGGACGGGUGAGGAAUACAUCGGAAUCUACUUUUUCGUGGGGGAUAACGUAGGGAAACUUACGCUAAUACCGCAUACGACCUACGGGUGAAAGCAGGGGAUCUUCGGACCUUGCGCGAUUGAAUGAGCCUAUGUCGGAUUAGCUAGUUGGCGGGGUAAAGGCCCACCAAGGCGACGAUCCGUAGCUGGUCUGAGAGGAUGAUCAGCCACACUGGAACUGAGACACGGUCCAGACUCCUACGGGAGGCAGCAGUGGGGAAUAUUGGACAAUGGGCGCAAGCCUGAUCCAGCCAUACCGCGUGGGUGAAGAAGGCCUUCGGGUUGUAAAGCCCUUUUGUUGGGAAAGAAAAGCAGCAGGUUAAUACCCCGCUGUUCUGACGGUACCCAAAGAAUAAGCACCGGCUAACUUCGUG